GAGAUUGGGGCCUCGGGUAUGAAAUGGACCCAGCUCAGGUCCAGGACCUCGAAGUCUCCUCCAGGUAAAUGGCCUGCAUUCUCCAGGCGUCCGCAUUCUCCACCUGCGCCCCCGGGGCUUGCACUCUGAGCUGCUGUCCUGUGUUGGAAAAGAGAGAGCUGGACAUGGAAGGCAUUCUCAGAGUGCUUGGAUCCCAGGCCAGGGUCGAGGGGAUGAAACAAGAGCCGGAGAGAGAUUUCUCCACUGGCCUUUCUGGCUGGGACAAGGUUCACCACAGUGACACGUCCCAUUUGCUCA
This is a long non-coding RNA of Lontra canadensis (Northern American river otter), 297 nucleotides long. RefSeq lists it as uncharacterized. NCBI's taxonomy places the organism in Eukaryota, Metazoa, Chordata, Mammalia, Carnivora, Mustelidae. The record is from RefSeq and is a predicted model, not a curated record. The transcript is spliced from 3 exons.